UGACUGACUGGGAUGAGAAAUGGAUAGAUGUGUACUUGGACAUCAGUGUGAAGUUACUUGAUAUUUGCAUUGCUUUUAGCUCCGAGCUUUCCCGGCUUAGCCAAGGCCAUCUCUUACUUCAAUGUGUGCUUCAUAAUCUGGAGUCCAACACUCCAAAGCAAUUUGUACGGGCUUGUUCUUCCCUUGAUAGCUGGAGACAACACAUUACUUCAAAGAAUUUACGAGUCCAGAACUGUCACUCCAUCUUGGAUAAUCUUGUGGAAUCAC
Molecule: unclassified non-coding RNA, 267 nt
Filed under: Hevea brasiliensis (rubber tree)
Lineage: Eukaryota; Viridiplantae; Streptophyta; Magnoliopsida; Malpighiales; Euphorbiaceae
Source: RNAcentral